UGAAACAUACAAAUGGAGUAAAAAAAUCUC
RNAcentral lists this non-coding RNA (30 nucleotides) under Mus musculus (house mouse). Lineage: Eukaryota; Metazoa; Chordata; Mammalia; Rodentia; Muridae. The record is from RNAcentral.